This is a long non-coding RNA of Pipistrellus kuhlii (Kuhl's pipistrelle), 479 nucleotides long. RefSeq lists it as uncharacterized. The transcript has 5 exons. Lineage: Eukaryota; Metazoa; Chordata; Mammalia; Chiroptera; Vespertilionidae. The record is from RefSeq and is a predicted model, not a curated record.
ACUGGGAGGAGCAUGGGCCAGAGUUCCCCACCUGGCUCAGCAGUGCACUCACCCACAAUGUCGUCACCUCCACACCGACUCAGCACAGUGGUCAGGGCGAGGGCCCCCCAAAGCAGAGCUCUGUUUAGGGUCAUCUUCUUCUCAGGGUGGUGUCAGCAGCUGCUGCUCUGAGCUGUAGAGCAAUGGUGAAGACCAAGCUGAGGAAGAAAUCUAAAAACACCCAAACCAAACCCUGCAAGUCAGGCUCUAGCCAAUCAGAAAACCCGCCUGUGAUGACACCUCAGUUGCUGGUUAAAGAGUGUGUACUAGGAGGCCUGGCAGGGACUGGGAAAUCCCCAGGUUCUGAGGCUCUGAUCCAGCCUCUGCUCAGAGUGGACCUGAGGGAAUUCUCCAACAAAGGAGGGAAGGUAUGAAAUCAGAAUCUCCUCUCUGUGUGUGCCUGCUGGUUCUCACAAACCUAAAUAACCAAAACAUGAACA